CCAGAACCGCAUACGCUUUAUUUCAAGAACUGCCAUCUCUAAGUUUAGCCUGAGCAACAAUUGGUUUACUGUCUACAGGCUUGGCUCUCACAAGUUGUGCGAUGAUUAUCCUACUAAUUAUUCUUGUUGUAAUUACUGCGACUGAGGAGCAUCCCACAGUUACAGCUAGAGAUCCGGUAUAUCCUGCACGCGUUUUUGGACCUUCUUCACAUGUUAAAGUGGGGGAAUGUUUUGAGGUGAAGUGCAGCACAUUUGGAACCAAGAAUGAAGGGGAAAA
This is a long non-coding RNA of Clupea harengus (Atlantic herring), 277 nucleotides long. RefSeq lists it as uncharacterized. The transcript has 3 exons. Lineage: Eukaryota; Metazoa; Chordata; Actinopteri; Clupeiformes; Clupeidae. The record is from RefSeq and is a predicted model, not a curated record.